RNAcentral lists this ribosomal RNA (253 nucleotides) under uncultured bacterium. RNAcentral describes it as "partial 16S ribosomal RNA". It matches the Rfam family "Bacterial small subunit ribosomal RNA", at positions 524 to 776 of the family's 1533-position model. The record is from RNAcentral.
UACGAAGGGUGCAAGCGUUACUCGGAAUUAUUGGGCGUAAAGGGCGCGUAGGCGGCCCGGUAAGUCAAAGGUGAAAUCCCUCGGCUCAACUGAGGAACUGCCUUUGAAACUGUCGGGCUUGAGGCCGGGAGGGGGUAGCGGAAUUCCCAGUGUAGCGGUGAAAUGCGUAGAUAUUGGGAGGAACACCGGUGGCGAAGGCGGCUACCUGGACCGGUUCUGACGCUCAGGUGCGAAAGCGUGGGGAGCAAACAGG